GAUCUAUCAGGGUAUGCUUCUGAAGUAUACUGUGCUUGCAUUUUACAUCAGUGACUACUGGCACAGAUUCAAAAAGCCUAAUUGGGAUUAAAUAUUCAUACAAAAUAGAGAACAGUGUCAACAGCAGAAGCCUUACUAGCAUGUUCCUGCUUGCUGGCCUUUGCAAUAGCUGCAUGUUCCUCUUUUACUCUGUUCUCGUUCUUGACUUUACUGAAUCCUGCUUGUCAUGGAGUUUAUAAAUAGGGCUUUUCCUUCCCCUUUGAUUUAAAACAGCAUUUGUAAGAGCUCAGCAGCUGCCAGUGUUAUUCAUUUAUUUAAGCCAUCUGAUUCACUUUGUUAUAUCAAUAAAUGAGAGACCCUUUUCUUCAAAAUGCUUUUCUCAGAUUUCUCCCAAAAUUUACAGUGCUUGUGAAGAUGAGCAAAGCUCAAAAUGGCUCAAUUCUCUCUGUAAGCAAAGCAGAUCUCAGCUUGAAAAAAGAUAACCACCUAAACUAUACAUUUAAUGUAGUGCAAUUUUUAUUAUAAGGUGUUUCUUAAAUAUUUCAUGAUCUUCUGCUACAGUAUUAUUGAAGACAAUCUAAUUCAUUAUUGUCUUCCAACAGAAGAAUUCAUUACCUGAGAUUUUUCUUGUUUUCAUUGACAUGACCAAGUAAUGAAUAGUAAUUAACGUCUGAGAAGAAAGUUACGAAUGCAGAGAUUUUUAAAAUAACAGACAGAAAGCAAUUUAGGAAUAAAUUAUCAAAACUAGCCCUUAAUUUUUUGGUUUAGCUUUUUUUUUCUUUGAUUGAUGGAGGGAAAUCGUACUGCAUAUAUAUCUUCUUAUUCAACAUUGGGUUUGUUUGGUUUUCUUUCAGAGUGUGUUGAUUUAAUUUGUCACCAUUUCUUCCCUUUCCUUUGCAGAAACUCUAAAGAGUGCACAUCCUUCAAAACAACUAGCAUGACACAAGACCAGCAGUGUGCAUGUAUAGAAUAUCAGGACCUUAAAUAACUCUCUUGUUGCAUUCAGUGAUCUGAAUUUCCAUGCUGCAAAUGUAAAUGCCAUGUUCAAUUUUACUUUCUGCUGCUGUAAUGCAAGUAUGAAUAUUGCCAUUUUCUGUAAACCCAAAAAGAUCUGGCAAAGCAACACUGCUCCUGGGCUUGACAGUGAUGGCAGUGUUUCAGCUUCCAUUAAACAAAUGGGAAAAGACUUGAAAAAUUAAACACAAAGUUGAAUAUUUCAUAGUGACUUUGCUAAAUGGGACUGGUCUAUCUCUUCCAGAGAACUCUCCAGAAAGUGACCCCUUGUGGCAGGUGAAUGCCCAAGACGUCCAUCUGCAGGUGUGCAGGGACUCCUGCACCACAGCACCUCCCAGGCAAGGCUUUUAUCAUCUGGCCAAACCAGGGGACUGUGUCCCCAAAGAUCUGAAACGCAGACUUUGGAAAGACUGGAGAAGUGCUGCUGCUCCUAAGCACUGGCCCUGUUUCUGUGCCACUGCAAGAUCUUCAGAUAUCCUCCCCUUCCCUCCCUAGGCUGCAGAGAAUCUGAGAUAGAUCUUACCUCUGCACUAAUUUAUAUACAAUCUGAGAAAAUUGACAAAUAAUGACUGGGUUUUAUGUUUCAUUUCCAUCACAAAAAAUCCAGAUUCCCACAGUUUUCAGGUGCCACUUGUUAAUUUCUUCCCAGCAUUGGGUGACACUAACUGGUUGAUGGCCAGACCUCUGAUGUAAUGAGCUCUUGUGGUACUUUGGGUGUGUCUGAAAGGUGGGAGGUGGCUGUGGAUCGCAGCUGAGCAGGGACUGGCAGCACACGAUGUGCUCUGCCUAGCACUGGAGGAGACAAAUAAUCACAGUGAGAAGAGUCAGGGCUGCAAAUGCACCUGAACAGUCAGACCACCAAACAGAGGCUGUGUCACUUGUGGAUGAGACCUGGAAACAAAGAUGUUGCUUGUUCAAGGAAGCCAAGAAGGAGAUAAUACCAUUUGGUGUCCAUUAUUCACUCCCAUAAGACCAUGAAGAUCUUGUUCUACUGCUGCAGCCAGUUGCAGAAAUGUGACUUCAGAACCACUGUGCUCAAGAGGAAUUCUCUUUGUUCACUUUUCUGUUUUGGGAGGAGGCAACAGAAAGUUUUGGUGUUUCCUGUUUUCUACAGGUAUAUUUUGAGACUAGGAGCCUAAAA
Passer domesticus (house sparrow) is the source of this 2155-nucleotide long non-coding RNA. RefSeq lists it as uncharacterized. The record is from RefSeq and is a predicted model, not a curated record. The transcript is spliced from 3 exons. Lineage: Eukaryota; Metazoa; Chordata; Aves; Passeriformes; Passeridae.